RNAcentral lists this ribosomal RNA (436 nucleotides) under uncultured bacterium. RNAcentral describes it as "partial 16S ribosomal RNA". It matches the Rfam family "Bacterial small subunit ribosomal RNA", at positions 342 to 795 of the family's 1533-position model. The record is from RNAcentral.
CCGGUGGCAGCAGUGGGGAAUAUUGCACAAUGGGGGAAACCCUGAUGCAGCGACGCCGCGUGAGUGAAGAAGUAUUUCGGUAUGUAAAGCUCUAUCAGCAGGGAAGAAAAUGACGGUACCUGACUAAGAAGCCCCGGCUAACUACGUGCCAGCAGCCGCGGUAAUACGUAGGGGGCAAGCGUUAUCCGGAUUUACUGGGUGUAAAGGGAGCGUAGACGGCCAGACAAGUCAGAAGUGAAAGCCCAGGGCUCAACCCUGGGACUGCUUUUGAAACUGCCGGGCUGGAGUGCAGGAGAGGUAAGCGGAAUUCCUAGUGUAGCGGUGAAAUGCGUAGAUAUUAGGAGGAACACCAGUGGCGAAGGCGGCUUACUGGACUGUAACUGACGUUGAGGCUCGAAAGCGUGGGGAGCAAACAGGAUUAGAUACCCUAGUAGUC